CAUCACUACGCUAGAUGCAUAUCAAUAAGCGGAGGAAAAGAAACUAACAAGGAUUCCCUUAGUAACGGCGAGUGAAGCGGGAAGAGCUCAAAUUUGAAAUCUUCAAGGUUUUACCCUUGACGAAUUGUAGUUUAAAGAAGUGUUUUCUGCUGAAGUUUUGGUAAAAGUUCUUUGGAAUAGGACAUCAUAGAGGGUGAGAAUCCCGUAUUUGACCAUUAUUUUCAGCUUUGUGAUACACUUUCAAAGAGUCGGAUUGUUUGGGAAUGCAGUCCAAAAUGGGUGGUAAAUUUCAUCUAAAGCUAAAUAUUGGCGAGAGACCGAUAGCGAACAAGUACCGUGAGGGAAAGAUGGAAAGAACUUUGAAAAGAGAGUUAAACAGUACGUGAAAUUGUCAAAAGGGAAGCGUUUGACACCAGUGUUGUUUUUCUGAAAAUCAAUUAAAGAACUGUUUAUGCUAAGUUUGUUUAUAGACUUUAUCAGCUAACUGUUUAGUUUUGAGCUUUUCUUUAAUGCACUUUUCAGUUAACAAGUCAACAUCAAUUUCUUUUGUUGUAAAAGAGUCAUUGGAAGGUAGCUUUCAUUUCGGUGAAAGUGUUUAUAGCCUUUGACUUCUGCAAUCGGAGAGAUUGAGGUCUGCAGCGUAGAUCCUUCGGGGUUAGAUACAUUUGUGCUAAGUUAUAGUUUUUCAUAGACAACAUGUUGACUAUGAUCAAUCCUGUAGCUUACUCGCUUAUGGCUAUUUUACCUACGCUUAGGAUGUUGACACACGCGCGUGCUCG
Molecule: ribosomal RNA, 779 nt
Filed under: uncultured Neocallimastigales
Lineage: Eukaryota; Fungi; Neocallimastigomycota; Neocallimastigomycetes; Neocallimastigales
Description: partial large subunit ribosomal RNA
Rfam family: Eukaryotic large subunit ribosomal RNA
Source: RNAcentral